RNAcentral lists this ribosomal RNA (253 nucleotides) under uncultured bacterium. RNAcentral's name for it is "partial 16S ribosomal RNA". It matches the Rfam family "Bacterial small subunit ribosomal RNA", at positions 524 to 776 of the family's 1533-position model. The record is from RNAcentral.
UACGAAGGGGGCUAGCGUUGUUCGGAAUUACUGGGCGUAAAGCGUGCGCAGGCGGCUUCUCAAGUCAGGGGUGAAAGCCCAGAGCUCAACUCUGGAAUUGCCUUUGAGACUGAGUGGCUUGAGUACGAGAGAGGUGAGUGGAAUUCCCAGUGUAGAGGUGAAAUUCGUAGAUAUUGGGAAGAACACCGGUGGCGAAGGCGGCUCGCUGGCUCGUAACUGACGCUCAUGUACGACAGCGUGGGGAUCAAACAGG